AGCGAACGCUGGCGGUAGGCCUAACACAUGCAAGUCGAACGGCAGCACAGUAAGAGCUUGCUCUUACGGGUGGCGAGUGGCGGACGGGUGAGGAAUACAUCGGAAUCUACUUUUUCGUGGGGGAUAACGUAGGGAAACUUACGCUAAUACCUCAUACGACCUACGGGUGAAAGCAGGGGAUCUUCGUACCUUGCGCGAUUGAAUGAGCCGAUGUCGGAUUAGUUAGUUGGUUGGGUAAAGGCCCACCAAGGCGACGAUCCGUAGCUGGUCUGAGAGGAUGAUCAGCCACACUGGAACUGGGACACGGUCCAGACUCCUACGGGAGGCAGCAGUGGGGAAUAUUGGACAAUGGGCGCAAGCCUGAUCCAGCCAUACCGCGUGGGUGAAGAAGGCCUUCGGGUUGUAAAGCCCUUUUGUUGGGAAAGAAAAGCAGCAGGUUAAUACCCCGCUGUUCUGACGGUACCCAAAGAAUAAGCACCGGCUAACUUCGUG
Molecule: ribosomal RNA, 492 nt
Filed under: uncultured bacterium
Lineage: Bacteria
Description: partial 16S ribosomal RNA
Rfam family: Bacterial small subunit ribosomal RNA
Source: RNAcentral